GGCCUACCAUGGUGGUAACGGGUAACGGGGUGUUAGGGCACGACACCGGAGAGGGAGCCUGAGAAAUGGCUACCACAUCCAAGGAUGGCAGCAGGCGCGCAAAUUACCCAAUCCCGACACGGGGAGGUAGUGACAAUAAAUAACAAUACGGGGUUCUUUAGGAUCUCGUAAUUGGAAUGAGUACAAUUUAAAUCUCUUAACGAGGAACAAUUGGAGGGCAAGUCUGGUGCCAGCAGCCGCGGUAAUUCCAGCUCCAAUAGCGUAUAUUAAAGUUGUUGCAGUUAAAAAGCUCGUAGUUGAAUUUCGGGAUCAAUUUAUUGGUCGUGCUAUUGUACGUACUGGUAUUAUUGAUUCCUACCUUCUGACGAACCAUGAUGUCAUUAAUUUGGUGUCACGGGGAAUCAGGACUGUUACUUUGAAAAAAUUAGAGUGUUUAAAGCAGGCUCACGCUUGAAUACAUUAGCAUGGAAUAACGAAAUAGGACGUUUGAUUCUAUUUUGUUGGUUUCUAGGAUCGACGUAAUGAUUAAUAGGGAUAGUUGGGGGCAUUAGUAUUCAAUCGUCAGAGGUGAAAUUCUUGGAUUUAUUGAAGACUAACUACUGCGAAAGCAUUUGCCAAGGAUGUUUUCAUUAAUCAAGAACGAAAGUUAGGGGAUCGAAGACGAUCAGAUACCGUCGUAGUCUUAACCAUAAACUAUGCCGACUAGGGAUCGGAUGAUGUUAAUUUUUUAAUGACUCAUUCGGCGCCUUACG
This 752-nucleotide ribosomal RNA is filed under the name uncultured Glomus. Its description in RNAcentral is "SSU rRNA". It matches the Rfam family "Eukaryotic small subunit ribosomal RNA", at positions 338 to 1092 of the family's 1831-position model. Lineage: Eukaryota; Fungi; Glomeromycota; Glomeromycetes; Glomerales; Glomeraceae. The record is from RNAcentral.